GUGGGUCAGAAUAAGGAUCAUUACCAUAUUCAAAUACUGUCGUCAAAUUGAAUAAUUUUCUUGACAAUCUUUUUUCAGUGUAUCCUCACAUUCACAAUGACAGAAAUGCAUGUUUUAUUUAUAAAAUUGGUUGGUUGUGCUAUCACCCGCAGGCUGAUGCAAGUGGUAUAUUCCAAUUCUCCAGCUCAUAGCUGGUUCUCCAAUAUACUGCCUCCUUUCUAUCCUGGUUAUAUUGAUCCAGCAUCUUCAGACAUUAGGCCCAGCUUUUUGCAGUGAGGUGGAAGGACUGUGGACGUCACAGGGUUGCAGCGGCAGAAGAGGCUAAAUGGUAGUGAUUUCAGACAGCCUGAAGGAAAAGCUAAGCAGAAAUUAGCAGGCUGUUCUGUCGGGACUAUGGAAUAUGAGAAUUGAAGAGAUAAGUGGAAAGGAGACCUGUUCAGUUACAAUGAAUGCAUUUUAGAAAGCCCAUCUGAAAAGUUUGCCUUUGUCGAUAGGAAACUACAGGAAAAUACUGAGAAGCACUAUCAGAGCGGGAGAGUUUGGAAGGAAGCUCGAAGGUAGUCAUGGAAACGAGAAACAGAUCUAAAGCAGAAGCUAAAGAGUCUCCCAAGUCUGCCACAUUGAAAACAAGCACCGCAACAGGGGAUAAGAAAGAAUUUUCUGGCAAACAACCUGAGCCUACCAACGCUCCAAAGAAACAAGCCACUGAGGCGACUGCAGCCAGUCAACCGAAGUCCACAGGGGACAGCUCAGUAACACCACCCGCUGGUACCUCAGAACAGAAGAAGACAGCGGACACCCAGCCAGAAGGCCAGGAUAACAAGGAAGAUACUUCUGAAGGGCACCCCAGCAAUUUUUUUGAAAACAUGAAGCCAUAUAUACUGGGAGGGGCUGCCAUCACAGCCCUUGCAGUACUCAUAGGCGUUGCGUUCAUACUACACAAGAAAUAAGAAAAUGUAUAAAAUUGUAUAUCAAUGCUGGUUCUUUUUUGCAUGCCUGUACAUUGAAGGAAAUACCUUCCAGCCCCUUUAAUCAGUAAUUGUACAACUGUGCUUACUACUAUAAGUCUUGGUUUGAAGUGAUGGUAUUUAACUCAGUGUCCAUAUACGUUGCAAAACUUUUGAAUUAACCUGUAUAUUGUAAGGUGGAUGUUCCCCCAGCCAUUCUUCCAUCCUCACCUUGUACAGAGCUUACAGCAAUGUAAAAUGGGCCACACUUGUUCCCAUGCUAGCUUAACCCCAGUAAAACUUUUCACACACUGUAGGUUCCCCCUAUAAGCAUUCAGUGUAUAUCUUAUAUUCUCAGUAGGAAGCCUUGUAAAAGUAGCCCACUCCCUUGUAGCAAAUAAAAUGAGAUGUAUUUCAGCCGCAUGUAAACCAAUUAUUUUUCUUUCCCCGGGGCCCAUCUCACAUCCACAUGUCUCUCUCUUGCUACAAUCAUUGAUAGCAAUUGCACCAAAAUAAAAACACCUUUAAUUGGAUCAUAGCAAUGAUCAGAGGCACUAAGGUUAUGAGAAAAAAUAAGAGGAAGGCAAAAAAAAACAAAGUGAUAGGACGAAAGCAAUAAAUCUGAGUUCCACUCCGAACUCCCAUUCCUUCUAGAACUUACUAGUAGAUUCUCUGUGUGACUUGUUCUUGGGCCCAUGAGAGUAGUUAAUUCAACUAAUGAUGUCACAUUUAUUUUGACUUAAAACAAGCGUAUACAUGCAAUAAAAAAAAGCUAAGUUUUAAAAAAACACAAAUUAAUAGUUGAAAGUUGAUAGGUAGAGUAGCUGUGCACAGUGUGACCCAGGCUGCUAUUAAUGUAUCCAUCUCUCCUAUACCAACAUACUCUGGACACUGCCUGUUAUUUUAAGUGUUGUAUCAGCUUUUGAGUGAACAGUAAGGUUGGCUAACAGAUGUGCUCGAUGUGGACUACAUAUUCUUUCUGCUGUACAUAAUAAACGUGUUGCUAUUAGUCAGAAUUUGAUGUCUGGCUAUCCUGUUGCUCUAAGGAAUGUAAGACAAUAAAUUAACAUUUCCGAA
Molecule: long non-coding RNA, 2024 nt
Organism: Chiloscyllium plagiosum (whitespotted bambooshark)
Lineage: Eukaryota; Metazoa; Chordata; Chondrichthyes; Orectolobiformes; Hemiscylliidae
Source: RefSeq, a predicted model, not a curated record